GGGGCUGUAGCUCGGUGGCAGAGUGCGUGCUUCGUGUGCACACGAUCCUGGGUUCAACCCCCAGCGCCUCCU
Molecule: transfer RNA, 72 nt
Filed under: Camelus ferus (Wild Bactrian camel)
Lineage: Eukaryota; Metazoa; Chordata; Mammalia; Artiodactyla; Camelidae
Rfam family: tRNA
About the family: Transfer RNA (tRNA) molecules are approximately 80 nucleotides in length.
Source: Rfam by way of RNAcentral